UACGGGGGGGGCAAGCGUUGUUCGGAAUUACUGGGCGUAAAGGGCUCGUAGGCGGCCAACUAAGUCGGAUGUGAAAUCCCCAAGCUUAACUUGGGAACUGCAUCCGAUACUGGAUGGCUUGAAUCCGGGAGAGGGAUGCAGAAUUCCAGGUGUAGCGGUGAAAUGCGUAGAUAUCUGGAGGAAUACCGGUGGCGAAGGCGGCAUCCUGGACCGGCAUUGACGCUGAGGCACGAAAGCGUGGGGAGCAAACAGG
RNAcentral lists this ribosomal RNA (253 nucleotides) under uncultured bacterium. RNAcentral describes it as "partial 16S ribosomal RNA". It matches the Rfam family "Bacterial small subunit ribosomal RNA", at positions 524 to 776 of the family's 1533-position model. The record is from RNAcentral.